RNAcentral lists this ribosomal RNA (429 nucleotides) under uncultured bacterium. RNAcentral's name for it is "bacterial SSU rRNA". It matches the Rfam family "Bacterial small subunit ribosomal RNA", at positions 355 to 776 of the family's 1533-position model. RNAcentral also lists the same sequence under 3 other names. The record is from RNAcentral.
UAGGGAAUCUUCCGCAAUGGACGAAAGUCUGACGGAGCAACGCCGCGUGAGUGAAGAAGGUUUUCGGAUCGUAAAACUCUGUUGUCAGAGAAGAACAAGUCGGAGAGUAACUGCUCCGGCCUUGACGGUAUCUGACCAGAAAGCCACGGCUAACUACGUGCCAGCAGCCGCGGUAAUACGUAGGUGGCAAGCGUUGUCCGGAUUUAUUGGGCGUAAAGCGAGCGCAGGCGGUUCCUUAAGUCUGAUGUGAAAGCCCACGGCUCAACCGUGGAAGGUCAUUGGAAACUGGGGAACUUGAGUGCAGAAGAGGAGAGUGGAAUUCCAUGUGUAGCGGUGAAAUGCGUAGAUAUAUGGAGGAACACCAGUGGCGAAGGCGACUCUCUGGUCUGUAACUGACGCUGAGGCUCGAAAGCGUGGGGAGCAAACAGG